CCUACGGGAGGCAGCAGUAGGGAAUCUUUCACAAUGGGCGAAAGCCUGAUGGAGCAACGCCGCGUGCAGGAUGAAGGCCUUCGGGUUGUAAACUGCUUUUAUAAGCGAGAAAUAUGAUGGUAACUUAUGAAUAAGGAUCGGCUAACUACGUGCCAGCAGCCGCGGUCAUACGUAGGAUCCGAGCGUUAUCCGGAAUUACUGGGUGUAAAGGGAGCGUAGACGGUUAAGUAAGUCUGGAGUGAAAGGCCGGGGCCCAACCCCGGGACUGCUCUGGAAACUAUUGAACUUGAGUGCAGGAGAGGUAAGCGGAAUUCCUAGUGUAGCGGUGAAAUGCGUAGAUAUUAGGAGGAACACCAGUGGCGAAGGCGGCUUACUGGACUGUAACUGACGUUGAGGCUCGAAAGCGUGGGGAGCAAACAGGAUUAGAUACCCCAGUAGUC
RNAcentral lists this ribosomal RNA (440 nucleotides) under uncultured bacterium. Its description in RNAcentral is "partial 16S ribosomal RNA". It matches the Rfam family "Bacterial small subunit ribosomal RNA", at positions 338 to 795 of the family's 1533-position model. The record is from RNAcentral.